Molecule: transfer RNA, 73 nt
Filed under: Myotis davidii
Lineage: Eukaryota; Metazoa; Chordata; Mammalia; Chiroptera; Vespertilionidae
Rfam family: tRNA
About the family: Transfer RNA (tRNA) molecules are approximately 80 nucleotides in length. Their secondary structure includes four short double-helical elements and three loops (D, anti-codon, and T loops).
Source: Rfam by way of RNAcentral
GCUGGUUUGGCUCAGUGGAUAGAGCGUCAGUCUGUGGACUGAAGGGUCCCAGGUUCAAUUCCUGUCAAGGGCA